AGCCUAAUACAUGCAAGUCGAGCGAAUGGAUUAACGAGCUUGCUCUUAUGAAGUUAGCGGCGGACGGGUGAGUAACACGUGGGUAACCUGCCCAUAAGACUGGGAUAACUCCGGGAAACCGGGGCUAAUACCGGAUAACAUUUUGAACUGCAUGGUUCGAAAUUGAAAGGCGGCUUCGGCUGUCACUUAUGGAUGGACCCGCGUCGCAUUAGCUAGUUGGUGAGGUAACGGCUCACCAAGGCAACGAUGCGUAGCCGACCUGAGAGGGUGAUCGGCCACACUGGGACUGAGACACGGCCCAGACUCCUACGGGAGGCAGCAGUAGGGAAUCUUCCGCAAUGGACGAAAGUCUGACGGAGCAACGCCGCGUGAGUGAUGAAGGCUUUCGGGUCGUAAAACUCUGUUGUUAGGGAAGAACAAGUGCUAGUUGAAUAAGCUGGCACCUUGACGGUACCUAACCAGAAAGCCACGGCUAACUACGUGCCAGCAGCCGCGGUAAUACGUAGGUGGCAAGCGUUAUCCGGAAUUAUUGGGCGUAAAGCGCGCGCAGGUGGUUUCUUAAGUCUG
This 567-nucleotide ribosomal RNA is filed under the name uncultured bacterium. RNAcentral describes it as "bacterial SSU rRNA". It matches the Rfam family "Bacterial small subunit ribosomal RNA", at positions 45 to 591 of the family's 1533-position model. The record is from RNAcentral.